GACGAAGGUGGCAAGCGUUGUUCGAAAUCACUGGGCUUAAAGGGUGCGUAGGCGGACCUGCAAGUGUCUUGUGAAAUCCCCCGGCUUAACCGGGGAAUGGCUCGGCAAACUGCGGGUCUUGAGGCAAGUAGGGGUGCGUGGAACUCUUGGUGGAGCGGUGGAAUGCGUAGAUAUCAAGAGGAACGCCGAAGGUGAAAACAGCGCACUGGGCUUGCCCUGACGCUGAGGCACGAAAGCGUGGGGAGCAAACAGGAUUAGAUACCCUGGUAGUCCACGCCCUAAACGAUGCCUACUAGGUUGUAGGGGUUCUGACGCCCUUACAGUCGGAGCAAAAGUGUUAAGUAGGCCGCCUGGGGAGUACGGUCGCAAGGCUAAA
Molecule: ribosomal RNA, 376 nt
Filed under: uncultured bacterium
Lineage: Bacteria
Description: bacterial SSU rRNA
Rfam family: Bacterial small subunit ribosomal RNA
Source: RNAcentral